This 237-nucleotide ribosomal RNA is filed under the name uncultured Staphylococcus sp. RNAcentral's name for it is "partial 16S ribosomal RNA". It matches the Rfam family "Bacterial small subunit ribosomal RNA", at positions 103 to 334 of the family's 1533-position model. The record is from RNAcentral. Lineage: Bacteria; Bacillati; Bacillota; Bacilli; Caryophanales; Staphylococcaceae.
CGAGUGAGUAACACGUUGAUAACCUACCUAUAAGACUGGGAUAACUUCGGGAAACCGGAGCUAAUACCGGAUAAUAUUUUGAACCGCAUGGUUCAAAAGUGAAAGACGGUCUUGCUGUCACUUAUAGAUGGAUCCGCGCUGCAUUAGCUAGUUGGUAAGGUAACGGCUUACCAAGGCAACGAUGCAUAGCCGACCUGAGAGGGUGAUCGGCCACACUGGAACUGAGACACGGUCCAG